Molecule: ribosomal RNA, 482 nt
Filed under: uncultured bacterium
Lineage: Bacteria
Description: bacterial SSU rRNA
Rfam family: Bacterial small subunit ribosomal RNA
Source: RNAcentral
GAUGAACGCUAGCGGCAGGCCUAAUACAUGCAAGUCGAACGGAUAUAUGUUUUUCGGAAUAUAUAUUAGUGGCGCACGGGUGAGUAACACGUACAUAACUUGCCCUCAAGCGGGGGAUAGCCUUGGGAAACUGAGAGUAAUACCCCAUAGAAUUAUUGGACGGCAUCGUUUGAUAAUUAAAACUACGGUGCUUGGGGAUAGAUGUGCGUCUGAUUAGCUAGUUGGUGAGGUAACUGCUCACCAAGGCGACGAUCAGUAGGGGGCGUGAGAGCGUGGCCCCCCACACGGGUACUGAGACACGGACCCGACUCCUACGGGAGGCAGCAGUAAGGAAUAUUGGUCAAUGGAGGGAACUCUGAACCAGCCAUGCCGCGUGAAGGAUGACGGCCCUCUGGGUUGUAAACUUCUUUUGGAUGGGGCGGAAAAACGGGAUUUAUCCUGGACUGACGGUACCAUCAGAAUAAGCACCGGCUAACUCCGUG